Molecule: non-coding RNA, 774 nt
Filed under: Limenitis homeyeri
Lineage: Eukaryota; Metazoa; Arthropoda; Insecta; Lepidoptera; Nymphalidae
Source: RNAcentral
AAUAAAUUUUUUAUAUUUUUUAUAAUUUAUUAUAAAUUUAUUUUACAUGUAAAUUUUAGUAUUAAAUUUUAAUUAUUUAAAUAAUAAUUAAUUUAAAUAUACAGUAAUUAAAAUUAAAAAUUUAAGAAAUUAAGAUUUAGUAAUAUUUAAAUUAAUAACUAAUUUUGUGCCAGCAGUUGCGGUUAAACAAAAGUUAAAUUAAAUUAUUUCAGUAUAUAAUAAAUAAUAAAUAAUUAAAUUAAAUAUUAAAUUAUUAAGUGAAAUUUUAAUUUAAUUAAAAAUUAUAAUGAAAUUAUGGUUUAACAAAUUUUAUUUUAAACUAGGAUUAGAUACCCUAUUAUUAAAAAUUUAAUUGAAAAUACUAAAAUAGUAAAUAAAAUAUUAUUGAAACUUAAAUAAUAUGGCGGUAUUUUAGUUCAUUUAGAGGAAUCUGUCUAAUAAUUGAUAAUCCACGAAUAAAUUUACUUAAUUUAUAAUUUUGUAUAUCAUUGUUAAAAAAAUAUUUUUUAAUAAAAAUAAUAUUUUAAAAUUUAAAAUAAAAUUUAAUUCAGAUCAAGAUGCAGAUUAUAAUUAAGUUUAAGAUGGAUUACAAUAAAUAUAUUUAAGUGGAGAGAAUUUUGUAAAAUUUAAUUGAAAAUGGAUUUAAAUGUAAUUUUAAUUAGUUUAUUAAAAUGAUUAAAAAUUGGAAUAUGUACAUAUUGCCCGUCACUUUCAUUUUAAAAUUGGAAUAAGUCGUAACAAAGUAGAGGUACUGGAAAGUGUUUCUAGAAUGAA